Molecule: non-coding RNA, 109 nt
Organism: Acanthosepion pharaonis
Lineage: Eukaryota; Metazoa; Mollusca; Cephalopoda; Sepiida; Sepiidae
Source: the annotation of a GenBank genome assembly
ACAGCCAUAUAGCAUUGAAACACUGGUUACCAUAUGAUCACCAAAGUUAAGCAAUGUCAAGCUUGGUCAAUACCUAGAUGGGUGACCACUUGGGAAUUCCAGGUAGUGU